AACUUUUAUGUCUCUCGCAUUGCAGCUCAAAAGCAUUCCAAUUAGUUCCUUAGAUUUGAGCAGGAAUGACAAUGGAAAUCUUAAGUGGAAACUCUUUCUAAAAUUAGUUUAGCACUUUAGCUUGAUCAGGGCUUGGUCCUUAGUGAAUAGGUGAAGUUGAUUGUUGGUAGUCUUGUUUAAUGGAAAAACUAGAGUAAAGGGCUUGUGCAGGUGCAUGAGUGUAUACCAGUAUACAUGAACACGUGGUUGGUGUCUAUUUUUUAUCUUCUUUUUUCGAUCUGAAGCUUUGUUGGAGGAAAGGGUUUGAUAGAGUAAGGAAAUAACACAGCAACAAUCAAUAAAAUUACAAGAAAUGGACCAGAAGUUACUGUUAUGGCAUAUAUGGAUUGAAGAUUAGUACAGCAGAAGAAAUGGAAAGAGAUUACAGCGUUACAGGAGAUGAUUUCCCCCAAGCUGAAACACUCUGCUCUCCAAGCUGCAAGAGCUGGAUACACAAACAACAAAAUUUAGAAUGCGCUAUCCUUUUUAACUACUGCUGCCCCUAUUCCCGCGCUUUCCAUUCUGUUACGCCUCUUCAUGUGUUCUGUACUUUUUCCUUUAACUGAAUUCCAGCUUGUCCUUCUUGAGAAUUCUUGGGCCUUCUAGAAUACACAAUCCACUUGAUCUUGGUUCUGCCUUUAUUCUCUGGCAUGUUCCUAUCAG
This 702-nucleotide unclassified non-coding RNA is filed under the name Hevea brasiliensis (rubber tree). The record is from RNAcentral. Lineage: Eukaryota; Viridiplantae; Streptophyta; Magnoliopsida; Malpighiales; Euphorbiaceae.